Small nucleolar RNA from Dipodomys spectabilis (banner-tailed kangaroo rat), 135 nucleotides. RefSeq annotates it as small nucleolar RNA SNORA48. The transcript has a single exon. Lineage: Eukaryota; Metazoa; Chordata; Mammalia; Rodentia; Heteromyidae. The record is from RefSeq and is a predicted model, not a curated record.
UGUCCCUGUUCUGGGCAGUGUCAUCUACUUCAUGGUACUCAUCUUAAUAUAUCAACCAGGGGCAAAACAAUCCCAUGUUUAUCCCAACAUGGCUUUUGAGCUGGGCCUAUGCCUCUUCAUGCCUUGGACACACAU